RNAcentral lists this long non-coding RNA (249 nucleotides) under Elaeis guineensis (African oil palm). RNAcentral's name for it is "long non-coding RNA (EGUI_LNC031474)". The record is from RNAcentral. Lineage: Eukaryota; Viridiplantae; Streptophyta; Magnoliopsida; Arecales; Arecaceae.
AGGUCACCCUAUAGUAGGGUGGCUCUAUCUGAUCACAUAUGAUCAUCGAACCACAACCUCCAGUCGGAUCCGACCGAAGGAUGAGAGCUAGGAGGAUCCUACCAAAUCUGAUUGGAGGAUGAUCGGAUCCGACCGAAGAAUGAGAGCUGGGAGGAUCCGAUCGGAGGAUGACCGAAUCCGACUAGAGGAUGAGUGCUAGGAGGAUCCAGAUCCGACCAGAAGAUGAGUGCUGGGAGGAUCUGACCGGAG